Molecule: ribosomal RNA, 291 nt
Filed under: uncultured prokaryote
Description: partial 16S ribosomal RNA
Rfam family: Bacterial small subunit ribosomal RNA
Source: RNAcentral
UGUCAGCCGCCGCGGUAAUACGGAGGGUGCAAGCGCUGUCCGGAAUUAUUGGGCGUAAAAGGCUCGCAGGCGGUUCCUUAAGUCUGAUGUGAAAGCCCCGGGCUCAACCGGGGAGGGUCAUUGGAAACUGGGGAACUUGAGUGCUGAAGAGGAGAGUGGAAUUCCACGUGUAGCGGUGAAAUGCGUAGAGAUGUGGAGGAACACCAGUGGCGAAGGCGACUCUCUGGUCUGUAACUGACGCUGAGGAGCGAAAGCGUGGGGAGCGAACAGGAUUAGAUACCCGCGUAGUCC